Molecule: ribosomal RNA, 456 nt
Filed under: uncultured bacterium
Lineage: Bacteria
Description: bacterial SSU rRNA
Rfam family: Bacterial small subunit ribosomal RNA
Source: RNAcentral
UACGGAGAGGCAGCAGUGGGGAAUAUUGCACAAUGGGCGCAAGCCUGAUGCAGCCAUGCCGCGUGUAUGAAGAAGGCCUUCGGGUUGUAAAGUACUUUCAGUCGUGAGGAAGGUGUUAAGGUUAAUAACCUUAGCAAUUGACGUUAGCGACAGAAGAAGCACCGGCUAACUCCGUGCCAGCAGCCGCGGUAAUACGGAGGGUGCGAGCGUUAAUCGGAAUUACUGGGCGUAAAGGGCACGCAGGCGGUUAAUUAAGUUGGAUGUGAAAUCCCCGGGCUUAACCUGGGAAUGGCAUUCAAGACUGGUUAGCUAGAGUCUUGUAGAGGGGGUAGAAUUCCGAUGUGUAGCGGUGAAAUGCGUAGAGAUGUGGAGGAAUACCGGUGGCGAAGGCGGCCCCUGGGACAAAGACUGACGCUCAUGUGCGAAAGCGUGGGGAGCAAACAGGGAUUAGAUACC